AUUGAACGCUGGCGGCAGGCCUAACACAUGCAAGUCUAACGAGUGGCUGACGGGUGAGUACUGUCUGGGACACUGCCUGAUGGAGGGGGAUAACUACUGGAAACGGUAGCUAAUACCGCAUACCAUCAGAUGUGCCCAGAUGGGAUUAGCUGGUUGGUGGGGUAACGGCUACCCAAGGCGACGAGCCCUAGCUGGGCUGAGAGGAUGACCAGCCACACUGGAACUGAGACACGGGCCAGACUCCUAAGGGAGGCAGCAGUGGGGAAUAUUGCACAAUGGGCGCAAGCCGGAUGCAGCCAUGCCGCGUGUAUGAAGAAGGCCUUCGGGGUGUAAAGUACUUUCAGCGGGGAGGCGUUACCCGCAGAAGAAGCACCGGCUAACUCCGUGCCAGCAGCCGCGGUAAUAC
This 406-nucleotide ribosomal RNA is filed under the name uncultured bacterium. RNAcentral describes it as "partial 16S ribosomal RNA". It matches the Rfam family "Bacterial small subunit ribosomal RNA", at positions 30 to 526 of the family's 1533-position model. The record is from RNAcentral.